This 6431-nucleotide long non-coding RNA is filed under the name Medicago truncatula (barrel medic). Its description in RNAcentral is "long non-coding RNA (MTRU_LNC005477)". Lineage: Eukaryota; Viridiplantae; Streptophyta; Magnoliopsida; Fabales; Fabaceae. The record is from RNAcentral.
GACAAUAUAAGGAGAAAUUCAUAUGGUCAGUUUUGGGUUGCUUUGUAUUCAUCAGCUGUAAAGCUGAGUGAUGAAGGAGAAAUAUUAGAAACCUUAGAAGAUUUCGAAAGGAAGACCAUGAAGAACAUUAGUGAAGUGGAAGAGAAAGAUGGAAAACUUUGGAUUGCAUCGAUAGUAACGCCUUAUAUUGGUGUUUAUAGUUUAUGAGCAUGCAGUAUAUUACGUUAGUGUGUACAUGUCCCAUACAAGGGACAAUUUUAUGUUUUUAUUAGUAUUUAUAUGUUCAUUUUAAAGUAUUGUAUGAAAUAUAUUAGUGUGUACUGAUGCAAUGCAAUAUAUUAUUGGCAAUUAUAUGAUGAAGAUUUCACUAAUUUUUUGUUUUCCAUAAGCUUAUAAUAAUGAGAGAGAAAAUUGUACAAAAGUUGUACAUAAAUGGUUAUACAAAUAUCAUUUCUCUAAGAAAAUGAAAGUGAAUAUUUUUUCCAAAACUAGAAAGGGUGUGAGUGUCUUUUAAUAAAACCUGAUGAGAGGUGAAUGCAAUUUGCUGAAAUCUAAAUCAAUAAAAAUUGAAUGUUUGAGAAUAGAAACAAACGACAGUUUUCGCUGUUGAGUACGUAUAAGUAAACAUGAGAUCAUUUAAUGCUACAAUUAUUCAGCCGAAUUGGACUUAAUCAUAGCCUUUUCGAGCGUUGUUUCUUAUGGCCAAGCAUGCCACAAUAGAAGCCUCGCGGGAUCAGCUUGGACUUAGUCAUAACCUCGUAGCUUUUAAUGUUUGAUCUGCCAUCCGUUUCUUCAUUAAUUCAGCCGAUUUGGAAUUAGUCAUAUAUGGUGGCUUUCAUGCUCAUGAGUUUUUCCUUUUUUAGCAAUGUAAAUAUGAGUUAAAUUAAUACACCAACAUGAAAUGACAUACUCUCCGAUCAUAUCUAUAAGUAAAAAAUAACUUUUUAAAAUUAUUAAAUAAUUAAUGUAUCUAACAUCUAUAUUAUAUAUAAAGAAAACUAUUCAUUUCAGCACACUUUUGGAUGGGACUUUUCUUUCCAAUAUACCCUUAAUUUUUACUUUUAAUUUUAAAUACAUAUAACAAAUAGAUAAGAAUAAAUUUAAUUUAAGAAGAAAACUUCAUACAAUUCCUUAUGAACUGUUCUUACUAUUAGCCAAUUAUAAAAUAACAUGUGGAUUACUAAUUCAUGUCACUAAUCAUCCUCGUUAACCCUUUUUACCUCCGUUAACCAUAGAUCAAGCUCACAAAAAACUAGCACAAAACAAAAACUCAUGUUACUUUUUUAUCAGCCGAUUUUGUGUUGUACAUUUGUGUUGUUCCCUUCAAUACAACCGACAAAGAUUGCCAAAUAAUUUCAUAUCCCUUCCACAAAAAACAGUAUUUCCAUAUUAUUUUAUUAAGAUAUCCUUCCUUAGUCUUUGAUCAAUUGUAACAAACAUGAGCAAAAAAUAAUCGUAAAUAUUGGACUUAUCCUCUAAAAAAAAUUAGUAAUAAAAGUGACCAAAAAAUAAUGUUAAAGAUUGGACUUUAAAUCCUCUAAAAAAUAUUAGUAACAAAAGUGAGCAAAAAAAUUCGUUAAAGAUUGAAUUUUAAAUCCUCUAAAAAAAUAUUGGUAACAAACGUGAGAAAAAAUCAUGUUAAAGAUUGGACUUUAAAUUCUCUAAAAAAAAAUUAGUAACAAACGUGAGCAAAAAAUAAUAUAAUGUUAAAGAUUGAACUUCAAAUACUCUAAAAAAAAGAUUAGUAACAAACGUGAGCAAAAAAUAAUGUUAAAUAGUUGAGUUUAAAUCUUCUGAAAAAAAGAUUACUAACAAACGUAAGCAAAAUAUAACGUUAAAGAUUGGACGUUAAAUCUUUUCAUGUUGCAACUAAUCAAAGUUGAUUAAUUUUAUGGAUUAUAUUUGACUUUGCUGGUUUAUUAGUGAUUAUGGUUCAAAUUGUUUACGAUUAAUUUUAAGGAUUAUUUGACUUUGUUGGUUUAUAAUUGCUUAUACAAACUAUGAUAGCGUGUUUUUUUUUUAAUAUAAAGAGAACCGUGGUUUUUUUAAUUAUUAUUAAAUAAAGGAAAAAUAAGCAAUAACAUCCCCUGUCGUUCUGCUUGUUUACAAUUGAUAAACUGCUCCCACGGCCUCCAUCCAAUAUCCAACAAAAUACAGUGAAAUCAAAGUGUUAAAACCAUUUAAACAAUUCAAAAUGGUUAAACCUUAAUCACACUCAUGUUACCAACAACUAAAAACAGAAACACUAGAAAGUUUCAAACCACCAUCUCUUUUUUUUUUUGUUACAUUCAAAUCACCAUCUGAGAGGCCAUUAAAAGAGAGGACCGCUAAUUAAGAAGUAUGGAUAUGAACACCUACACCAGAUACAACACGAAUACUGACACGCCAAUAACGUUAUAAUUUGAGAAAAUCACAUAAUUUAGGGUAAUUAUAUUUGUGGAUGCGGAUGCCACACGUGUUCAGACACAUCUAAUAUGAGGAGUGUAUGUGAUUCAUAGGAGAGGAGUAAUAUCAUAAUUUGUAAUCACAAUAUAAAAGAAAAAAAUCAAAUAGAAGUGGAAAUAGAAUCAGUGGAUUAAAGAUAGAUAAACAGGGUAGAAAGAAACAAAUGGCUACACUACCAUAUCAACAUGAAUUCUUAAACUCAAUUGCUCAAGGAAGUAUCCCACCAUAUAUUUUAAAGGUAAAAAAAGGUGCACCUUUGAUGUUGUUGCGAAACAUAGACCCUAUAUAUGGCCUGUGUAAUGGGACACAAUUGUUAUGUCGUGGUUUAUUUAAGAAUAUGUUGGAUGUGAACAUCCUAAUAGGAAGCAAUACUGGAAAAAGAGCAUUCUUGCCCAUAAUUAAAUUAAAAACAAAUGCGAGUUCAGGACUUCCCUUUGUGCUUAGUAGAAAACAGUUUCCCGUUACACUAAGAUUUGCUAUUACCAUAAAUAAGUCACAAGAGCAGACCAUUCCCAACGUCGAAAUCUAUCUUCCACGAAUGGUCAAUUAUAUGUAGCUUUAUCAAGAGAAGUUUCUCAAAAUUCAACAAAGGUUCUCAUAAAGAAGGGAAAAUAGGAGAAGAUGGAGACUUUACGAAAAAUGUAGUUUUUAAAGAUAUUCUUUUAUCGCAAUCAUAUCAAUGUUUCUUUUACAUAACAUGUCAUUUAUACAUUUAUUUAUGAUGUUACUAAUUACUAUUAGAAAAAACAAUAAAUUGUCAUUAUUUUGAUCUUCAAAAAAAAAAUGAUCAUUAUUUUAUCUUAAUUUUAUAUGGAGGCAAACUAAAAUAUGUUGAGUUCAAAAAUAAUUUUGUUAUAAGCCUUGACAAUAUUUUGUUUAUAAAUCAAUAUAUCAAUAAUUUUUAUUAAUAUUUUGAAAUUUAAAAAUUUCAAUCAAAAUUAUACAAACAAACAUAAUAAAAUAUUCACAUGCGUUAGCGUAGUAGAAAGAGCGGAUAGACAGGAACGAUCGCGCCCGUCUUUCCACUAGUAUAUAUAAAUUGAAUAUUUAAUGAACCUAAAUUUUUUGUUUAUAAAUAUGACUGGAGGGAGUAUAUUAUGAAUUUAUGAUGCAUUUACGUUAACAAAGAGUUGUUCCAUGCAAUGAGAGUAUAGUAAAUAAAUGGGUUUUGCUAACGGUUGUCUUGAGGGCGUUUGUUAAGGAUUCAAUAGAAGAAAUAAUUCAUAAAUUUUAUAUAAAAAAAGUUUCUUUUUGAAAUUUCAAUGUUUUGAAUGCAUAAUUAAAAAAAGAUUUUUAUCUUUGAAUAUAUUAGGGCUCUUUUUAACUUUUUCUUUUCUCUUCUCUUCUUCUCGAGCGACCCCUCCCUAUUAUCUCAUUCAUGUGCAUCUCCUCCCUCACCUUCAUCUUCUUCCCAUCAAACCCAAUCUCCAAUUUCAUCCAUAUCUUCUUCUUCUCCAUCUUAAUUUACUCUCGGUUUCAUCAUCAAACCAAUCUCAACACAUCUCCCCAAUUUAUUCCAUCAUUUAAUUCUUCACCCCCUUCAAGGCUUCGAAUUUGAAAAUGAAGCAACAGACAAAACCUUCGAUCCUUCGUCAUUAGUUGAUUUCAUAUUGCAAUUUUCAGUUUUGCAAACCUACUAUCCAUAAGUUUUCGAUCCAGUUUUGCUAAUUGGAUUUUGGUUGUUCUUUCCUUGUUACGAUAAAAAAAAAAAAAAACCCAAAUCUGAGUAUGGUUUUCUUUUUUAUAAUUUAACCACUAAAAAAAUUAGUAUGGUCCCUCUGUUAACUUUUGUUAAAAUAAAUAAAUAAAACUAAUAGAGUGUCACGUGGUCCAAUCAUUUCACGCCACGUGGCUCACUAAAUGACAAAAUUUUAGAAUUAAAAUAAAUCAAAUAAAAUAAUUGUUUUUUAAUUAAUUCUAAAUAAUAAUAAUUAAAUUUUUUAUUUAUUUAUUUUAACUCUGAAUAAUAAUAAUAAUAAUUAAAAAAUAUUUUUUAUUUGAUUUUUUUUAAUUUUUUAAUUUUGUCUUUUAGUGUGCCAUAUGGCGUGAAAUGAUUGGGUCACGUGGCACUCCAUUAGUUUUAUUUAUUUAUUUUGACAGAAAAGUUAACAGAGGGACCAAUACCAAAUUCAUUUUCAUUCAACUGUACAAUUUCAUUUUCACCAAACAACAUAGAUCAAAUAAAAAACGUGAACAAAAAGUUAUUCUAUUCUAGAAGAAAUGUAAAAGAUUGAGAUUUUAUCAUUCUGUAAAAGUUCAAGUAGCACAUAAAUAAAUAUUGGAAUGAAAAGCAAAGAAGAAACUUAACAAGAGAAAAAAAUAUGUUGUUUUAUAAAAGUUUCCAUUGAGAUUCUAAAAGUAUUGAUCUAGGUGACAUAUGUUUAAUUAGUGUUUUUCUUAUAUUGCGGUUUGGUUUGGUUUGAUUCGGUUUGGGAUUUUUCUAUUCGAUUGAUUUGAUUUAGAACACCUUUUUUUUUUACAAAAACAAAAUGAUAUUCAAUCAUUCAAAUCGAGAGAUUACAUCAUUCAACACCGCUAAAAACGUAAGGGAUGAAUCUACGAACAAACUCACAUCAUCCAAGUUAAUAGCAUAUAACGGCAUAAUGCCUACAAAAAUAUAUGAUGAAAUUAAAGUGACCGAAAUAUCCAUGGCCUCCGGAUCUGCAACGUUGACGCCCAAAUCUUCGAUUGAAUAAUCGAUCUUUCAAUAUAAAUCAAAUGAACACCGCACGAGGACGGGAAAUGAAACAACGCCGCACAAGACGAUGAACAACAAACCACCACACUUAGAUGAUGAAAUCACAAAGAAAAAAACCUAGAUCUAUGUGAAAAUCACUUAAUUAGAUUGAAAUAGAGAGAAAAAGAUGAAGAUUGGUGAUUUUAGGUCAAGAAUUGACCCAAAACCACCCCUCAAUGAAGAAACAGUAAGAGAAAACCUAAAGAGAGAAAAUUAGGAUUGACUUGAUUUAGAACACCCCUAUUUAUAACAUUAUAUACUAGAUUUAAAGAAUUUAUUUAAGUCAUUGAAAACCAUCCAAAAUUCUCCUCCAAUACAAUUUUUUAAUGGGAAAUGUUAACGAGUGCCCCCGGGGCACUCUUUAAACACUUUAAAUGGUAAGUUUUUAAUGAAAAAUUGUGUAAUGAAUGCAUUGAAAAUUGUAAUAGUUGACUUUUUAAAAAUAUAGUUACUAAAUUUUGGAUGCUUAAAGAGUGCUCCGGGGACAUUCGUAAACAAGACCCUUUUUUAAUUCCCAAUUUUUUUUUAUAUCAUAUAUUAAGAAAAAUAUACCCUUCAAAGUCUUCCCUUUCAAAAUCAUUUCAUUUACUUAUUCCUUUUUUUCUAAAAUACACGUACCCUUCUAAACUCCCAACCAUACUCUUAAUAUAGUCAUUAUAAUUUUAAACUGUCACUUUAGAGUAUGAAAUAAAUUUUAAAAUUUCUUCUUGCAUGUUAGUUCACUGAAUUAAAUUUCCUUGUUAAGAUCAGAUCAAAUAUUCAACCAUGUGUUUAGUUGACAUCAGACAUACAUUAAAGUUGCGUAUCAACAAUUAAGUAUCUCUUUUAUAAAGCUAAGAUUUUUUUAGAGUACACAUCAAUAAUAUUUGACAAAACGAUGUAAAUACAUGUCAUGUAGAAAAAUAACAAUGGAACAUUCUUGAGUUGGUAUGGUGGUGUUGGCUUCAGACAUUAGAAUGUCUCACGGUCUCAAAUUCGAUUCAUUUAGCGGUGCCAAUUUCGGUUCGUUGGUUUUAGUUUCUUCAACAAAAAAAAAAAUAGUAAUGGAAUGAUCUAUAUGUUGGUCACUUUUAUUUGCAGGCAAUAUACGCUUUUAUUUGUUAGUGGAGACAAGACUGGAAGGUUAAUGAAAUAUGAUUUCGAAAGGAAGACCAUGAAGAACAUUAGUGAAGUGGAAGAGAAAGAUGGAAAACUUUGGAUUGCAUCGAUAGUAACGCCUUAUAUUGGUGUUUAUAGUUUAUGAGCAUGC